GUGCUCACUUUGGCAGCAUAUAAACUAAAAUAGGAAUGAUAUGGAGAUUGGCAUGGCCUCUGCACAAGGAAAAUAUGCAAAUUUGUGAAAUGUCCCAUUAAAAA
Molecule: small nuclear RNA, 104 nt
Organism: Monodelphis domestica (gray short-tailed opossum)
Lineage: Eukaryota; Metazoa; Chordata; Mammalia; Didelphimorphia; Didelphidae
Source: Ensembl